Cicer arietinum (chickpea) is the source of this 436-nucleotide non-coding RNA. Lineage: Eukaryota; Viridiplantae; Streptophyta; Magnoliopsida; Fabales; Fabaceae. The record is from RefSeq and is a predicted model, not a curated record.
UUGAACAAAACAACAAAGAAUGAGAAAAAUACCCUUUUCCUCUCUUGUUGCUAGAAUUGGCUUGAAGACUAGGGUUGAUGGGAAGCAAACUGAUGGUAGAUCUUCCUUUCUUCUUUGCGGCUAAAGAGGAAGGGGUAUGUUCAUUGUAUAAAUUAAUUUCUGAAUUUUCUGCUGCUUUUGGCAACUAUAUCCAGCAAGCAAACUGAUACAACUAAAGGGAAGGGUUGUAUUCAUCAUUAAAUUCUGGAUUUUACCCUGGUUUGGCAACCAGAUCAAGCAAAUACAAUCAAGGAAACUAGGGCUAGUCUUUUUUGAUUGAGUAUUCAACAUGAUAAAAUUAAUACCAUUAUUAGAUUGAAAUAUACUUUUUAUUUGAAUUGUGGACAAAAUUGAGGUAUUACAAUUCUUGAUUAAAUUCUUUCAAUGGUGCUAGAAA